UCUCGGCAACGGAUAUCUCGGCUCUCGCAUCGAUGAAGAACGUAGCGAAAUGCGAUACUUGGUGUGAAUUGCAGAAUCCCGUGAAUCAUCGAGUCUUUGAACGCAAGUUGCGCCCGAAGCCAUUAGGCCGAGGGCACGYCUGCCUGGGCGUCACGCAUCGCGUCGCCC
This 168-nucleotide ribosomal RNA is filed under the name Knautia longifolia. RNAcentral describes it as "5.8S ribosomal RNA". It matches the Rfam family "5.8S ribosomal RNA". From Rfam's summary of the family: 5.8S ribosomal RNA (5.8S rRNA) is a component of the large subunit of the eukaryotic ribosome. Lineage: Eukaryota; Viridiplantae; Streptophyta; Magnoliopsida; Dipsacales; Caprifoliaceae. The record is from RNAcentral.